Molecule: RNA transcript, 1966 nt
Organism: Dipodomys ordii (Ord's kangaroo rat)
Lineage: Eukaryota; Metazoa; Chordata; Mammalia; Rodentia; Heteromyidae
Gene: Golga7
Gene name: golgin A7
Exons: 7
Source: RefSeq, a predicted model, not a curated record
AAAAGGCUUUUGCGGCAGAGCGUAAGUGACGGCGAGCGCAGCGCGACAGCAGCUGGAGGGCCGAGGAGGCGGGGCGGCGGGUCCUGUCCUCGCCAUGAGGCCGCAGCAGGCGCCGGUGUCCGGGAAGGUGUUCAUUCAGCGCGACUACAGCAGUGGCACACGCUGUCAGUUCCAGACCAAGUUUCCCGCAGAGUUGGAGAACAGGAUUGAUAGGCAGCAAUUUGAAGAAACAGUUCGAACUCUAAAUAAUCUUUAUGCAGAAGCAGAGAAGCUUGGGGGCCAGUCAUAUCUUGAAGGCUGUUUGGCUUGUUUAACAGCAUAUACCAUCUUCUUGUGCAUGGAAACCCAUUAUGAGAAGGUUCUGAAGAAAGUCUCCAAAUAUAUUCAAGAACAGAAUGAGAAGAUAUAUGCUCCCCAAGGCCUCCUCCUGACAGACCCCAUUGAGAGAGGACUUCGAGUUCUUAGAUUGAAAUUACCAUUUAUGAAGACAGAGGUUUGAGCAGUGGAAGAUAAGCCAUAGAAUUAAAGGUCCUCCCAGGAGAAAUGGCCCCUUCCCAUUGUUGUAUUCCCUUGAACCCUAGAAGUCCCUGGCCAGCACCUAUCCCACCUCCAGCUGGAACCCUCAUCUGUCCAUGGGCCGAUCGCAGAGUGUCCCUACCUCCUCUCCAGAGCAUCAUUCCUUUGUAUCUGCUGCCAGAGCCAUGGUGCCAUUUACGCCAAGGACUAACUUUCUAAAAUUCCACACCUGAUGUGACUUCUAGUCACUCAGCAUCCACUUUGUGUCUCCAAAUUGUGCAGGACUUGUCAUCUUUUGAUUAGCUUCUGAGAAAAUACAAUGAAGCAUUUCACUUUUUUUAAUUCAGUCAUUUAAUAAAGUAUGCAGUUAGAGGGCCUAAUACAAAGUUUCUUUCUUACCUGCUACCAGGUAAGAAAUUGCCAUUGGUUCUCUUCAUUCCUUGAGCCAGUUUCCCUGGUAGCUUUAUAUUCAAGAAGUCAUAUCUUAGCCAAAAUUCAGAUUAAUAAAAAGCUUUUCUCUAGGUGAGGGGUGUAUUAUGUCUGUGGUUUUGCCAGUGCAUCUCCCAGAUUUCAGAGAACUCAUUUCUGCCAUGUUUCAGAUCUUAAGAUUUAUUUCUGCUGUUCAGUUUCUCGAGCCGAAGCUCAAAGAAAAAGGAAGUAUAAUGUUGUUUGUUUUAUUACAGCAAUUAUUGCUCAUUAAAUCAGUAUUUAAUGCAAUGUUCAUUCUUUUCUUGGGAGACAGGUUGAUUUGCAUUACCUUUGGAUGUGGGAAGAUGUGGUUUGUGUUGCUUGUUCAUUUACACAAAUAAGCACAAUGAAGUGGAUGCUAAAUUGUCAAACACAUAAAUGUCCCUGCUCUGUUCCUGAAUGUGUAAUACACAGUGUAAUAAAUACUUUAAUUAUAGUUUUGUUAUAAAUAUAACUUAUGAGAAAAAGUUUGAUAGGAAUAAUACUGUAUAUUGCUAAUUUUUAAUCCUACUGACAAACUUUCUGAUCCAUAUUCUCCUCAUAUACAGUAUUCAGUACACAGAAAUGUUAGGUUUGGUUCAAAUAAAGUGAGCUAAGUGACCCAUGUGAAACUCUCAAGUCUUCAGUCGAGAUUUCUAGUUCUUUUGUCUAUACGUUCUUAGUACUGGAGUUUCUUAUGUUCUCCAUUUUUUUCAGGAUUUGAGAGCACUGUUUUGGGAGAAAGUUAAGGAAUGUAUUAGAGAAUGAAGCAGUUAAAAAGUUCCAACUUUCAGAGAUAUUGUAGGUGCUAAUACUGGAUUUAGUCUUACAAAUUUAAUUUCUGUCUGGUAGUUAAUAUAUCCCAUCUGUCUGUAAUAUUUAAUUGUAUAAAACUUAUUCAUUACUUUAUAGCCUGUAAUAGUGUGUCUGCCUUUUAAACCUGUUGCAAUAACUUUAACUUUGCUGAAAUAUUAACACAUUAGUAAAACUUUUCUUAAACAAA